This 497-nucleotide ribosomal RNA is filed under the name uncultured bacterium. RNAcentral describes it as "partial 16S ribosomal RNA". It matches the Rfam family "Bacterial small subunit ribosomal RNA", at positions 28 to 507 of the family's 1533-position model. The record is from RNAcentral.
GAUGAACGCUGGCGGCGUGCCUAAUACAUGCAAGUCGAGCGAACAGACGAGGAGCUUGCUCCUCUGACGUUAGCGGCGGACGGGUGAGUAACACGUGGAUAACCUACCUAUAAGACUGGGAUAACUUCGGGAAACCGGAGCUAAUACCGGAUAAUAUAUUUAACCGCAUGGUUCAAUAGUGUAAGACGGUUUUGCUGUCACUUAUAGAUGGAUCCGCGCCGCAUUAGCUAGUUGGUAAGGUAACGGCUUACCAAGGCAACGAUGCGUAGCCGACCUGAGAGGGUGAUCGGCCACACUGGAAGUGAGACACGGACCAGACGACUGCGGGAGGCAGCAGUAGGGAAUGUGCCGCAAUGGGCGAAAGCAUGACGGAGCAACGCCGCGUGAGAGAUGAAGGUCUUCGGAUCGUAAAACUCUGUUAUUAGGGAAAAACAAAUGUGAAAGUAAAUAUGCACGGCUUGACGGUACCUAAUCAGAAAGCCACGGCUAACUACGUG